Molecule: ribosomal RNA, 467 nt
Filed under: uncultured bacterium
Lineage: Bacteria
Description: partial 16S ribosomal RNA
Rfam family: Bacterial small subunit ribosomal RNA
Source: RNAcentral
GACGAACGCUGGCGGCGUGCUUAACACAUGCCAGUCGAACGGAAAGGCCCUGCUUUUGUGGGGUGCUCGAGUGGCGAACGGGUGAGUAACACGUGAGUAACCUGCCCUUGACUUUGGGAUAACUUCAGGAAACUGGGGCUAAUACCGGAUAGGAGCUCCUGCUGCAUGGUGGGGGUUGGAAAGUUUCGGCGGUUGGGGAUGGACUCGCGGCUUAUCAGCUUGUUGGUGGGGUAGUGGCUUACCAAGGCUUUGACGGGUAGCCGGCCUGAGAGGGUGACCGGCCACAUGGGGACUGAGAUACGGCCCAGACUCCUACGGGAGGCAGCAGUGGGGAAUAUUGCACAAUGGGCGGAAGCCUGAUGCAGCAACGCCGCGUGCGGGAUGACGGCCUUCGGGUUGUAAACCGCUUUCGCCUGUGACGAAGCGUGAGUGACGGUAAUGGGUAAAGAAGCACCGGCGAACUACGU